Molecule: long non-coding RNA, 1219 nt
Filed under: Capra hircus (goat)
Lineage: Eukaryota; Metazoa; Chordata; Mammalia; Artiodactyla; Bovidae
Description: lncRNA (ENSCHIG00010005374.1)
Source: RNAcentral
GGGUUGUUCCCAGCGGAGAUCCUCCAGGAUGGCUUCUGGGAUACGCCACCGCAGAGCCAGGCCCUGGCGGGGCAUGUGAUGGUUUCUCUCCUGCUGCCGUGACGCCCUCACCAGCAGCUGAAGCAUCACAGGUUUACUGUCUUCCAGUUGUGGAGGCCAGAAACCCAUGUGCAACCUCAGCAGCUAAAACCCAGGCGUUGGCAGGAUGGCCUUCGUCCCGGAGCCUCCAGGGAGAGUCUGCUUCCCAUCCUUCUGCGUGGCUCUCUGGGGCUGUGGGACCCAGGACCCUGUUUUCCUGCUGGGUGCAGGCUGAGAGCUUCCGGAGGUGCAGGGGGCAUCUUCUGACCUAGCUUCCCAUCAUGGAAUGAGUGGAGGCUUCUUCAGGCCUCAACCUGUGCUGUUUACCUUCCGACAGCAGUGGCCUCCUCCUCCUCCGGCUGCUGCACUGUCCCUGCCCGCCCCUUUCCAGCGGCAGGUCCCAGAGCUUUCUCGGUUCUUGGCCACGACGUCUCCCACCUCCUCCACCCAGUGGGCUCUAGGCUCCGGUGGCUGCAGGGCUUCAGUCCAGCAGGUGUUUCCUUUUACUUGCUUCAUAGCAGCUUGCACCGUGGUUGAUCCCUCCCUCCUAGAAGCACUCUUCCUUCUGUUUCUGAGAAGGCGUAUUUUCUCUCGGGCCCCUGCGGCUGAUCUGUUUCCUGUGCAGACUCACCGUGGACGGUGCAUUUCCUCAGCGUCAGGCCCCUUCCUGCACACCUUGCCCAUGGCAUCUGCAGUUGACUUAGAGCACCUUGGCUACAGAUUGGUGUCCACCAUGGUCUUCCUAAGACAAAAAAACAUUCUGCUUAUGUCUGCAAAGGAAACAGAAGUUGCAGCCAACUAUAAAUGCAACGAGAAAAUGUUUCUUUGAGGUCUUCUGGGAACACAUCUUAAAUUAUUGAGCAAUUCUGACUUAUGCAACCACAUACUUCAUUACUCAUCUGAGAAGCAGAGCAGCUCUCUGGAGGAUGAAGCAGGGUUCUGUGUUGGACGCUGCCGGAGAGGCAGGUCUGCAGAGACUGGCAAGGUGGCCAGCCUGUAAGCCCUGCUGUGUCCCUGGGCUUUCCCCUAAGAACGAACGCCCUGGAGGUUUUUACCAAAAUUUCUGGGAAGCUCUGUUUUCCAAAAUGGCUCAAAACAACUAGAAAUAAAUUAAAAUCAGAGAAAAUUUACUCACUCAUGA